UGGGGAAUAUUGCACAAUGGGCGCAAGCCUGAUGCACCCCCGCCGCGUGAGCGAUGAAGGCCUUUGGGUCGUAAAGCUCUGUCCUUGGGGAAGAAUAAAUGACGGUACCCUUGGAGGAAGCCCCGGCUAACUACGUGCCAGCAGCCGCGGUAAUACGUAGGGGGCAAGCGUUAUCCGGAAUUAUUGGGCGUAAAGAGUGCGUAGGUGGUUUUGUAAGCGCGGGGUGAAAGGCAAUGGCUCAACUAUUGUAAGCCCUGUGAACUGCAAGACUUGAGUGCAGGAGAGGAAAGUGGAAUUCCUAGUGUAGCGGUUAAAUGCGUAGAUAUUAGGAGGAACACCAGUGGCGAAGGCGACUUUCUGGACUGUAACUGACACUGAGGCACGAAAGCGUGGGGAGCAAACA
This 403-nucleotide ribosomal RNA is filed under the name uncultured prokaryote. RNAcentral describes it as "bacterial SSU rRNA". It matches the Rfam family "Bacterial small subunit ribosomal RNA", at positions 355 to 774 of the family's 1533-position model. The record is from RNAcentral.